GAUGAACGCUGGCGGCGUGCCUAAUACAUGCAAGUCGAGCGAAUGGAUUGAGAGCUUGCUCUUAUGAAGUUAGCGGCGGACGGGUGAGUAACACGUGGGUAACCUGCCCAUAAGACUGGGAUAACUCCGGGAAACCGGGGCUAAUACCGGAUAACAUUUUGAACCGCAUGGUUCGAAAUUGAAAGGCGGCUUCGGCUGUCAGUUAUGGAUGGACCCGCGUCGCAUUAGCUAGUUGGUGAGGUAACGGCUCACCAAGGCAACGAUGCGUAGCCGACCUGAGAGGGUGAUCGACCACACUGGGACUGAGACACGGCCCAGACUCCUACGGGAGGCAGCAGUAGGGAAUCUUCCGCAAUGGACGAAAGUCUGACGGAGCAACGCCGCGUGAGUGAUGAAGGCUUUCGGGUCGUAAAACUCUGUUGUUAGGGAAGAACAAGUGCUAGUUGAAUAAGCUGGCACCUUGACGGUACCUAACCAGAAAGCCACGGCUAACUACGUGCCAGCAGCCGCAGUAA
RNAcentral lists this ribosomal RNA (515 nucleotides) under uncultured bacterium. RNAcentral's name for it is "partial 16S ribosomal RNA". It matches the Rfam family "Bacterial small subunit ribosomal RNA", at positions 28 to 523 of the family's 1533-position model. The record is from RNAcentral.